AUGGCGAAUUACAGUGGGCAGUCAGCGAGCUCAUUGUCAGCCAUUUCAGAAUGAGGUGGAAGCAGUGAUUGAUAAAGGUAAACCUGAUCAAACGUAGGUUUAAAAAUAAAAGAAUGCAAAAUGAAUGUCAAAAUCACUAAGUGAUAGUAGCUAUUAGCAUAUAUGCUGAAUUCCAAAAAAAUACUAAGCCUAGCAAAAGUAUUGCAAAUAGGCAAAAAAAAGUAGCGUAGGCUAGUGAUAAGACACAAAGAAGCCCGUGGACGGUCAGCUCAAAGAAAUUCCCGAACGGGAAAGAAAAGUAGGCUAACGCGUUAGCAUUUGUGAGUUGUGACAUUCGUCCGAUUAUUCAAGCACAGUAAUAAAAAGACUGAAAACAGAAGAAGAAGAAGAACUGAAAUUGUAUAAAAACUCACCAGACAUGUUGGCUGAAAGAAGUCAAAAAACGCUGGAAGAGAAGUUGCUAUGGAAGUCUUCUGCCUAUCUGCUCUUGGCUCAAUUAUAUGGGCUAGAACGAAAUAUUUACAAAAGUAACAAAAAGUCUCAACACAAACCUCUGACACAAGGUUGAGGACAUGCAAUAAUAUUGUAAUAUAGCUAGGGAAAUAUUAGUUUGAGUUUUUCUCUCCCCAUGCCUACUAUUUAAAACCUCUAGAACUCAAUGAUUUGACAAUCAAUGAUUGCGCGAUACUUUCAAUUUGAAUAUUCAAAGGCUUCAUAAAAAGAGUCAGAUUUUAGUAGUCCCCAAUAUAUUAAUACCUGAAUUAAGAUGCCCUUUAAUAGAAAUUGAUGUGAUUGUACACCUAGAUCAAAAAUAAAGUGAUAUUUUUGACAUUUUA
Anguilla anguilla (European eel) is the source of this 836-nucleotide long non-coding RNA. RefSeq lists it as uncharacterized. The transcript is spliced from 2 exons. Lineage: Eukaryota; Metazoa; Chordata; Actinopteri; Anguilliformes; Anguillidae. The record is from RefSeq and is a predicted model, not a curated record.